ACGAACGCUGGCGGCGUGCCUAAUACAUGCAAGUCGAGCGAAGUUUUUCUGGUGCUUGCACCGGAAAAACUUAGCGGCGAACGGGUGAGUAACACGUAAAGAACCUGCCUCAUAGACUGGGACAACUAUUGGAAACGAUAGCUAAUACCGGAUAACAGCAUUAACUGCAUGGUUGAUGUUUAAAAGUUGGUUUUGCUAACACUAUGAGAUGGCUUUGCGGUGCAUUAGCUAGUUGGUGGGGUAAAGGCCUACCAAGGCGACGACGCAUAGCCGACCUGAGAGGGUGAUCGGCCACACUGGGACUGAGACACGGCCCAGACUCCUACGGGAGGCAGCAGUAGGGAAUCUUCCGCAAUGGGCGAAAGCCUGACGGAGCAACGCCGCGUGAGUGAAGAAGGAUUUCGGUUCGUAAAGCUCUGUUGUUAGGGAAGAAUGAUUGUGUAGUAACUAUACACAGUAGAGACGGUACCUAACCAGAAAGCCACGGCUAACUACGUG
Molecule: ribosomal RNA, 498 nt
Filed under: uncultured bacterium
Lineage: Bacteria
Description: partial 16S ribosomal RNA
Rfam family: Bacterial small subunit ribosomal RNA
Source: RNAcentral